UCCGGUUUGUCACCGGCAGUCUCUCAUGAGUCCCCGGCAUUAUCCGCUGGCAACAUGGGACGGGGGUUGCGCUCGUUGCGGGACUUAACCCAACAUCUCACGACACGAGCUGACGACAGCCAUGCACCACCUGUGCACUGGCCCCGAAGGGCUGCCGUAUUUCUACGGCAUUCCAGUGCAUGUCAAGCCCUGGUAAGGUUCUUCGCGUUGCGUCGAAUUAAACCACAUGCUCCGCUGCUUGUGCGGACCCCCGUCAAUUCCUUUGAGUUUCAGCCUUGCGGCCGUACUCCCCAGGCGGGGCACUUAAUGCGUUAGCUACGGCACAGGCGGGAUUAAUACCGCCCACACCUAGUGCCCAUCGUUUAGGGCGUGGACUAC
This 378-nucleotide unclassified non-coding RNA is filed under the name uncultured Gaiellales bacterium. Its description in RNAcentral is "contains 16S-23S intergenic spacer region". Lineage: Bacteria; Bacillati; Actinomycetota; Thermoleophilia; Gaiellales. The record is from RNAcentral.